This 1556-nucleotide ribosomal RNA is filed under the name Salmonella enterica subsp. enterica serovar Senftenberg. Its description in RNAcentral is "bacterial SSU rRNA". It matches the Rfam family "Bacterial small subunit ribosomal RNA". RNAcentral also lists the same sequence under 1 other name. Lineage: Bacteria; Pseudomonadati; Pseudomonadota; Gammaproteobacteria; Enterobacterales; Enterobacteriaceae. The record is from RNAcentral.
UUAAAUUGAAGAGUUUGAUCAUGGCUCAGAUUGAACGCUGGCGGCAGGCCUAACACAUGCAAGUCGAACGGUAACAGGAAGCAGCUUGCUGCUUCGCUGACGAGUGGCGGACGGGUGAGUAAUGUCUGGGAAACUGCCUGAUGGAGGGGGAUAACUACUGGAAACGGUGGCUAAUACCGCAUAACGUCGCAAGACCAAAGAGGGGGACCUUCGGGCCUCUUGCCAUCAGAUGUGCCCAGAUGGGAUUAGCUGGUUGGUGAGGUAACGGCUCACCAAGGCGACGAUCCCUAGCUGGUCUGAGAGGAUGACCAGCCACACUGGAACUGAGACACGGUCCAGACUCCUACGGGAGGCAGCAGUGGGGAAUAUUGCACAAUGGGCGCAAGCCUGAUGCAGCCAUGCCGCGUGUAUGAAGAAGGCCUUCGGGUUGUAAAGUACUUUCAGCGGGGAGGAAGGUGUUGUGGUUAAUAACCGCAGCAAUUGACGUUACCCGCAGAAGAAGCACCGGCUAACUCCGUGCCAGCAGCCGCGGUAAUACGGAGGGUGCAAGCGUUAAUCGGAAUUACUGGGCGUAAAGCGCACGCAGGCGGUCUGUCAAGUCGGAUGUGAAAUCCCCGGGCUCAACCUGGGAACUGCAUUCGAAACUGGCAGGCUUGAGUCUUGUAGAGGGGGGUAGAAUUCCAGGUGUAGCGGUGAAAUGCGUAGAGAUCUGGAGGAAUACCGGUGGCGAAGGCGGCCCCCUGGACAAAGACUGACGCUCAGGUGCGAAAGCGUGGGGAGCAAACAGGAUUAGAUACCCUGGUAGUCCACGCCGUAAACGAUGUCUACUUGGAGGUUGUGCCCUUGAGGCGUGGCUUCCGGAGCUAACGCGUUAAGUAGACCGCCUGGGGAGUACGGCCGCAAGGUUAAAACUCAAAUGAAUUGACGGGGGCCCGCACAAGCGGUGGAGCAUGUGGUUUAAUUCGAUGCAACGCGAAGAACCUUACCUGGUCUUGACAUCCACAGAACUUUCCAGAGAUGGACUGGUGCCUUCGGGAACUGUGAGACAGGUGCUGCAUGGCUGUCGUCAGCUCGUGUUGUGAAAUGUUGGGUUAAGUCCCGCAACGAGCGCAACCCUUAUCCUUUGUUGCCAGCGGUUAGGCCGGGAACUCAAAGGAGACUGCCAGUGAUAAACUGGAGGAAGGUGGGGAUGACGUCAAGUCAUCAUGGCCCUUACGACCAGGGCUACACACGUGCUACAAUGGCGCAUACAAAGAGAAGCGACCUCGCGAGAGCAAGCGGACCUCAUAAAGUGCGUCGUAGUCCGGAUUGGAGUCUGCAACUCGACUCCAUGAAGUCGGAAUCGCUAGUAAUCGUGGAUCAGAAUGCCACGGUGAAUACGUUCCCGGGCCUUGUACACACCGCCCGUCACACCAUGGGAGUGGGUUGCAAAAGAAGUAGGUAGCUUAACCUUCGGGAGGGCGCUUACCACUUUGUGAUUCAUGACUGGGGUGAAGUCGUAACAAGGUAACCGUAGGGGAACCUGCGGUUGGAUCACCUCCUUACCUGAAAGAAGC